RNAcentral lists this long non-coding RNA (1631 nucleotides) under Aplysia californica (California sea hare). RNAcentral describes it as "uncharacterized LOC118477792". The record is from RNAcentral. Lineage: Eukaryota; Metazoa; Mollusca; Gastropoda; Aplysiida; Aplysiidae.
AUAUAAUGCCAAUGCACUGCACGUUUUUUCUGUUCCCCACCCUGUAUAUAUAUAAUGUUGUGUAUUAUGUUGUGUAAGGAAGGGCGACUGACGUAUGAAACGACACAUUCCCUGUGGCGGCUGACGUAUAAAACGACACAUUCCCUGCGGCGACUGACGUAUGAAAUGACACAUUCCCUGCAGCGACUGACGUAUGAAACGACACAUUCCCUGCGGCGACUGACGUAUGAAACGACACAUUCCCUGCGGCGACUGACGUAUGAAAUGACACAUUCCCUGCAGCGACUGACGUAUGAAACGACACAUUCCCUGCGGCGACUGACGUAUGAAACGACACAUUCCCUGCGGCGACUGACGUAUGAAACGACACAUUCCCUGCGGCGACUGACGUAUGAAAUGACACAUUCCCCGCCGCCGAGAUUUGCCCAAGUUGUCACUGGACUUUCUUCCACCAUUUUUAAAAUCUAUUGUUUGAUUUCAGUUGAAAAAUGCCAGAAUUGUUGCCAUUGUUGUUGUGAGUUCUUUUGCCGGUAUUUCCUGCCACAGGUCUCAUGUUGUCUACUGCCGGUAUUUCUGCCACAGGUCUCAUGUGUUUGUUGUUGUGUGUUGUGAAAGGUGGGGAAAUGUUGUUUGUUUACACACGUCAGGGACAGUCUAUCACUCACGCGGUGAAACACACACACACACACACACGCACACACGCACACAUGCUCACACAUAGCAAAACAUUUACAUAGAACAUCAUAACGUAAAGAAAGAAAAUUUGUUUCAGUUCAUUUUUACUGGAACCUUCUGACUUAUCUCCCCUCCUUCUUGCCUGCUGGGACGCUGUCUUCCAAAAUUCGAUCACUUUGUAAAUAAAUAUGUGUGUAACGUUUGUAAAUAAAUAUGUGUGUAACGUUUGUAAAUAAAUAUGUGUGUAGCGUUUGUCUAUGUGUGUAUGUGUACAGGAAUCUGUGCUUGGCUCAAAGGGUCAAACACUAGAGGUCAGGAAGGUCGUGAUGUGUAUUUGAUCAAGCUAUGUUUAGCCUCAUUUGAUGUCCGUUUUCACCUCAGUGUUGUCUGUCUUUGUGUCGUGACUCGCUGGAAUCGGACGCUCGUCAAUUUUUGUGGAGUUAUUGAUAUUAUUAUCUGAAAAGUUAAAACUUGUUCAUUGUUCUUGCUUUCAUAGAAAAAAACUACCCAUCUAUGUUGAGGAGAGGUUGAGAAGAUAUUCAUGAUAGCAGGAAGUGGGGUCCACCUGGUUUCAGAAGUAAAAAUAGCGAAAAAAUGGUCGUCAAAGUUUGGCGAAUUCGAUAACUUGAGAGUCCUUAGAAACUGAAAAUUUACAUUUUUUUGGGCCUUUAAUAUUUUCAGUAAAAUGUGAUUAUAUGGUCACAACAGGUGUUGAGCCAAAAAAAUAAAAAUUCGAAAAAAAUUACCAAAUUGGCAGAAAAAUGCUCGUUUCUUCAAUUUCAUAAUUUUGACGAGCGCCUGAUUUCACCACGCUGCCUCACAGAUGUCUGUUUGAGGAACUCUGCUGACAUGUCUCAUGUACAAAACUAGAAUAUUGAUAAGGGGUGUUGAAUGAUUGAUGAUUGACGGAAGAAUUGUGUCAAAAACGAUUGAUUGAAAUACAGAUUGUAAAAUCA